Bos taurus (domestic cattle) is the source of this 685-nucleotide long non-coding RNA. The record is from Ensembl. Lineage: Eukaryota; Metazoa; Chordata; Mammalia; Artiodactyla; Bovidae.
CUUUGGUUUGUUUUUACUUUAACUGAUUUCAGCCUUUAGUCCUGCGCAAACCGCUCUGCUGCUGAGAGAUUUAAAGGAAAGGUUCUGCGCCUUUAAGAACUCAAUUCAGCUGCUCCACGGACUGAAGCACGCCAAGCCUCCCUGUCCUUCACCAUCUCCCGGAGCUUGCUCGGACUCCUGUCCAUUGAACCUUAAGGACUCCAGCAAUUCCAGCACUAUGUGCCAGUCACAUACUUUACAGUGAAGCACUUGAACCCUCCCUCCAACAACCCUACCAUGGAAUCUACUAUUAACUGCACUUGAUAGAUUUGAAAACAGUCACGUGGGCUUUCUGGGGGCUCAGUGGUAAAGAAUCCACCUGCCAAUGCAGGAGACACGGGUUCAAUCCCUGGUCCAGGAAGAUCCCACAUGCCAUGGGACAGCUAAGCCAGUGUGCUACGGCUACUGAGCCUGAGCUCUGGAGCCAGCAAGCCACAACUGCUGAGCCCGCAGGCCCUAGAGCCUGUGUGCCACGAGAAAAGCCACUGAGAUGAGAAGCCUGAGCACUGCAACCAGAGAGUAACCGCCCUACCACGAGAAAAGCCAUUGAAAUGAGAAGCCUGAGCACUGCAACUACAGAGUAACCGCCCUGCUCGCUGCGACUAGAGAAAAGCCUGCUUGCAGCAACGAAGACCCAGCACAGCCA